CUGGCGCUCCUUGUCUCUGCCUCUUCUCAGAGCUUCCGGCUGGGCUAGAGGCUGAGCACCUUUGGGAACAAGAUUCAAGGGAAUGUGAGCACAGUGCGAAGUGUAUUUAAAAGCAUGUUGUGAUGUGCACAUUUGUAAUAACUUUUUUUGUUGUAACAACCAUUUGUAAAACAUUCCAAAUAAUCGACAACUUCAAAGCAGAAGUCUGAUUCCUUUCUCACUUUGGAAGGUAACUCAGCCUAAUGCGUAGUGCCCUCUGCAGAAGAGGGAAAGAAGUAAGGGCAGCUGCCUCACCAACAGCCGAACAGCCCAGGGAAAGGCUCCACUGUAGGAAACCUGUGCUCUGCCCCAAGCACCAGCCAAACCAGGAAGGUGGUCUCAGGAGGAGUUAGCCAGAAACAAAAACCGCGCUACUCAGGUUUUGAGCUUUAAGGAAAGCACCAGAUCUACAGGAGCAACAGGCCUUUCUGUGAAACGGGAAACAGACAAAAAGAAACCUUAUUGUAAAACGUAUUUUGGUCCUCCAAGAAGAGAGCAACUGGAUUGCUGAGCCAGGUCGCUGAGGAGGAGCUGAGGAACUGAGCUGUGGGCCGCUGGUAUCACCAUCCCUGGGCCUCCAAGGAGGAGCUGAGGAUCUGACCAUCUCCCCCUCGCCCUGGCCUCUAGCAGCUGGGCUGCACAGAUACCUGGAUCCACACCACAGUGGUGCAGGGGGUCAUAAAGGACAUUGUUCUGAGCUCCAGAAGAUAGAGCAGAAGUGAAAGAGGGCCUCUCUGAGGAUCCUUGAUGAAAA
Heterocephalus glaber (naked mole-rat) is the source of this 793-nucleotide non-coding RNA. The record is from RefSeq and is a predicted model, not a curated record. Lineage: Eukaryota; Metazoa; Chordata; Mammalia; Rodentia; Bathyergidae.